This is a long non-coding RNA of Amphiprion ocellaris (clown anemonefish), 2468 nucleotides long. The record is from Ensembl. Lineage: Eukaryota; Metazoa; Chordata; Actinopteri; Pomacentridae.
CAUAAAUACCAACUCGGAGCAAACAAGUAUCACAGCCUCACCUGGGAGCCUGGUGAAGACAUCAGAGGCAGUGCACUCAUAACUGUUACCUGAGGACAAACUACAAACACAAGGUCUUCCUUCCAAGGAAUAAUUACUACUUUCUCUCUCUUGCACGAAAGACAAGAUCUACAGUCUACUAUAGGCAUGGACAACAGACUACUCUUCACUGUCCUGGUUGUGAUGAUGUCCUUGAACUUUAUGGGCACCUAUGCUCAAACAUCCCCACCCCUACCCCCACCCCCACCCCCACCCCCACCCGCACCAUCCACCACAACUGCAGCAGCCACCACAACUGCAGCAGCCACCACAACUGCACCAACCACCACAACUGCACCAACCACCACAACUGCACCAACGACCACAACUGCACCAACCACCACAACUGCAGCCACCACGACACCAACCACCACAACUGCACCAACCACCACACCAACACCAACCACCACAACUGCGGCAAUCACAACUGGAACACCAAACAUUACAAUCACCACUCCAGCAACAACUGGUCCCACAACCACUGAUCACGCAAUCACAAUCCAGCAAUCAGUAAUGCAAGCUCUACUGAUCACUGUGGCUACCCUGGGUCUAAGUAUGAUAUGAGGAAAAUAAAACCUUCAACCAUCAAAAGAACUUCCCCAUCCAUGCAUCUGUGCUAUUGAAUGUAAACCUUUAAAGGUCUUUCUGGAGUUUAACUUUACAUAGUGUAACCCUGAUUGAUAGGAUUAUUUUUGUAAUAACUCAACACAGGUUAAAGCAAGAGGACUGGUAAAACUGGUAACUCUUACAACUUUUUGAGACUUUAGCAACUCUGAUUUAAAAAAAAAAAAAAAAAAAACUGUUAAGAGUUUUAUGAGUUAUGUAACUAUAUUUAAACACAAUACUGCUGGGUUUUUGCCCUAUGCCUCAGAUGCAAUGUAUUCAUUAAAAUGUCUAAAACAGGGCACAAAUAAAAAGUAGAAUUAUAAUAGAAGCAUUAAGACUAAUCAAAAGAAAAAUUUAGAUCAUGUCAACGAAUCAUGGCUGUCAUCAGCAAAUGUCUUGGGUUCUAUAAAUUUUAGGUUUAGGGUCUAGUUACCUCUUAAACCCACAUUAUUACUGUCAAAAACACUACAGCCAUGGAACUGUUAAACUGUCAUGGAAGGAAAACAUUUUCCGACACAAUAAUGUCCAAAGUUAUAAUCAAUAACAUACUGAACCAAUGACAAACUUUUGUUAACAAAAAAAUUCUUUUGCAUAUGCACAGAACAGACAGGUUUGUUCAUAUCACUAUUUGCAUUUACGCAUAAUAGUUUUGUGGUACACUAAAAGCAAGCAAAGACUGUGUUUUUUCUGCUCUGUUAUUACUCACAAUGAUGCUAGCUAAUGGCAGAUGUGUUUUUACAUCAUGUUCUUGUUACUGUUAAUGUACACAGACAGUUGAUUCUUCAACAAUGCUUUCACAAUGAAGCCUCACUGGCUGACACCGAACAUUGAAGAAAUUAAUUUUGCAUACUGACUUAUGUAACAAUGAAGUUUAUAUUGUAUGUUUACGAUUUUAGCCCUGUUAAUAAAGUGAUAUUGUUGGCAGACAGAAAAUGCCAGACUGUCUAGACUAUCUUAUUAACAAGCAGGUUUGAAGAUCUGAAUCUGAACCUUUAGCAUUAUGUAACUUUAAAUAAUUUUUUUAAUUAUUAUUAUCAUUUUUAUGGAUUAUUUAUGAAAUCUAGGCAAAAGAGGUAAAAGGUACUGACUACCAAGGAAAUAAAAUAAAACCAUUGCGGAAAGACAGGUGGUUACACAUUUCCGCUAGUUAGCAAAGGUUAGGAUGCUGCUAUUGCUAGCUAACGUUAGCCCAAGUUCAUUCUAUUCACAGACACUUGAAAGUGCUCCGGAGGUCACACAGGUUUGAGAAAAUCCAGAAAAUCCAUGGAACAGAAAAUCCAGUUGAAUAUUAAAGUUAAGGGAAAUCCAUGAUUUGCUUUACAAGAUGUAGAUAUCCAUUUGGGUUUCUUGUUCUUUAUGCAAACAACCCAGACUGAGAAUUUACAUGUUCUCAUAUUCCAGAACAAAUUAAAUAUGUGACUGGUGAUGCUCAGAGGAAAACCAAAGGGGCGACAAGCAAGUUUAACUGUUAGUUCAUGUUUAUCAGCCUUAAAAACGUCAUAGUAUAGCAUGUCGUCCAAAAAAAAACCUUUAUAGUAUGGAAAGUUGUCAAAAAAAAUGUCACAGCAUAUCCUCAAAAAAAUGUCAUAGUAUAGUAUGUCGUCCAAAAAACAACAUAUAACAUUUCCUCAAAAAAACGCACUAGUAUAGUAUGUCGUCCAAAAAACAUCAUAUUAUAACAUUUCCUCAAAAAAACACACUAGUAUAGUAUGUCAUCCAAAAAACAUUAUAGUAUAACAUGACAUCCAAAAAAUGUCAUAGUAUAGCAUGUCGUCCAAAAAAAC